Molecule: RNA transcript, 5008 nt
Organism: Triticum aestivum (bread wheat)
Lineage: Eukaryota; Viridiplantae; Streptophyta; Magnoliopsida; Poales; Poaceae
Gene name: MDIS1-interacting receptor like kinase 2
Exons: 7
Source: RefSeq, a predicted model, not a curated record
CUGUGGACAUGACCAGUCCCGUAUGAUUACCAUUCCACGCAGCAUAUGACGAUCAACACACGGAUGGAAUCUCGUCAUCGUCUUCCUCCGACGACGACUCCAUGGGAAUGCUAGUCCCUCUAGUCGUACGCGGAGCUGUCUCUCGCAUCACCUCCGGGCCCCAUGGUGAGAGGUACGCCAAUAUAGAUGAACCUCUAUAAGAAGAGACUUCCCAUUAAUUGAGCUCCACCGGCACAAAACAAUAUAACCUACUUCAGUUGCCAUGCGACUAGCCAUGGAGACCUCACCUCACCUAAAGCUUGUCUCGCUCGUUCUCCUGCUAGCCUUGUUUUCUCAUGCCAUCGCAGCACCACCCCCAUCCCUCCUGGAAGAACAGGCCGGAGCCCUUCUCACCUGGAAAGCCACCAUACACAGCCCCCCAGCCCAGCUGCAGUCCUGGGGAAGCAACACCACAUGGCCAUGCACCUGGUAUGGCAUCAAGUGCGGCGAGAACCAAGCAGGGCACCAGGAGGUCAUGAUCACCGAGAUAUCUCUGCGGGGUUUGCGGCUGAGAGCGGCGUUGGAAUCCCUCAACUUCACGGCGUUGCAUACUCUCACGAGUAUCCGACUCCCGUACAAUCAGAUAAGGGGCCCCUUUCCACCCACUUUAGCAUCAUCUUUGCCAAACCUGCGACACCUAAUGCUUCCAGGAAAUAAAAUCUUUGGUGAAAUACCAAGGCAAAUUAAACACCUAGAGAGCCUAGUGGGGCUGAACUUGUCAAAGAACCACCUAUCCGGUCCCAUCCCUAGUGAACUAAGCUAUCUAAAGAAGCUUGCCAAGUUAGAUUUUUCCAACAACCACCUCACAGGCCCCAUUCCAAAAAAUCUAUGGAAUUGUACUCAACUCACUAUCUUGUACCUAUGGGAUAACCAACUUUCCGGGAGCAUCCCACAAGAACUAAGUUACCUAGUGAAUCUAGAAUUAUUGGAUCUUGGCACAAACAAACUCACAGGUUCCAUCUCCAAUACCUUUGGAAAUUUGACCAAGCUCACUGCCUUAUACCUUGAUGGUAAUUGGUUCUCUGGUCAUGUUCCACGAGAAAUUGGCACCUUAAUGGAUCUCGGAUAUCUACAAUUUUAUGAUAACAAUCUCUCUGGCCCCUUACCACCUGAAUUGUGUGCUGGAGGUAUGCUCAAGAGAUUAAUUGCAUUUGACAACAAUCUCAAUGGACCUCUUCCAUCAAGUUUGGUGAACUGUAGAAGCCUAGAAAGAGUCCGCCUUGAAAGGAAUCAAAUAGAAGGAGAUAUUUCUGAGAUGGGGGUUUAUCCAAAUCUGGUCUACAUGGAUAUGAGCUCAAAUAAUUUGUUUGGUCAGUUAUCUUGUCACUGGGGGGAAUGUCAUAAUCUUACGAUGCUACGCAUCUCAAACAACAACCUUACCGGGGAAAUACCCGCAAGUAUGGGGCAGCUAUCUCAACUAGGGUGGCUUGAUCUUUCAUCAAACAAGCUUGAAGGAGAGCUUCCAAGUGCACUAGGCAAUCUAAAAAAAUUGUUCAACCUGAGCCUCGGGGACAAUUUGCUCCAUGGAAGCAUUCCACUAGAAAUUGGAGCACUAUCCAAUAUAGAGUUGCUGGAUUUGUCAUCAAAUAACCUAGAUGGGUUGAUACAAAAUUCAAUUGAGCAUUGUUUGAAGCUUCGCCUUUUGAAGUUGAAUCACAAUAACUUCGGAGGAAACAUCCCUCCUGAGCUAGGGUUAUUACGUAGCUUACAUGACCUAUUGGAUUUGAGUGAUAAUUCAUUUACUGGGGCAAUACCAAGCCAACUUAGUGAUCUGAUCAUGCUAGAUACUCUGAAUCUUUCACACAAUAAACUUAAUGGCUCCAUUCCGCCAUCAUUUCAGAGUAUGGAAAGCUUGACAUCCAUUGAUGUAUCUUAUAAUGAACUGGAAGGGUUGGUCCCGGACAGUAAACUCUUCCAAGGAGCUCCAAUGCAGCGAUUCAUGCAUAAUAAGAUGCUAUGUGGUGUGGUGAAAGGAUUGCUCCCUUGUCAUAGUGCAAAUCAGAGCAGAGGGGAAAGGAAAGGAUACAAAAUACUUGUAUUAGCCAUUGUUCCUGCUCUGCUAUCUCUUGUUCUUGCUGUGGUGACAUUGAUGUUCUGGCAUGAAAGGAAGAAAACCAAUGCAACUAACGACGAUAAAGUAACAAAAGAAAAAGUCUUCUCUAUCUGGGGUUUUGAUGGGGCAAAUGUGUUCAUGCAAAUCGUUGAAGCAACCAACAAUUUUAGCGAGAUGCAUUGCUUAGCAACCGGUGGGUAUGGAUCUGUCUACAAAGCUAGACUUCCAACAUGCGAAAUAUUUGCAGUGAAGAGGAUACACGUGAUAGAAGAUGAGCAUUGUGUGAAUGAGACAAUGUUCAAUCGUGAAAUUGAGGCAUUGGUGCAGAUCCGUCAUCGAAACAUCGUAAAACUAUUUGGGUAUUGCUCCUCUAACCAAGGCAGGUUCCUUAUCUAUGAAUAUAUGGAGCGAGGAGACUUGGCGAAAACACUGAAGGAUAAUGAAAGGGCAAUUGAAUUGGAUUGGAGAAGGCGGAUACAUAUUGUGUUGGAUGUGAUUCAUGCUUUGGCAUACAUGCAUCAUGAUUGUUCGUCACCAAUAGUCCAUAGAGAUAUAACAAGCAACAACAUUUUGAUUGAUUAUGAAUUUAGAGCUUGCAUCUCUGACUUUGGUACGGCAAAAAUUCUCAAUCUUUAUGGGUGGAAUCUUACAAGGCUUGCUGGGACCAAAGGCUAUCUCGCCCCAGAGCUAGCAUAUACAGAAAACGUGACGGAGAAAUGUGAUGUAUACAGCUUCGGAGUGCUUGUUUUGGAGCUAUUUAUGGGAUCUCAUCCAGGCGAUUUGCUCUCAUCCCUCUCGUUGGCCACCACGAAUAAUGAGCUGUGCCUGCAGGAUCUGCUGGACUCUAGGCUUAUGCUCCCGGAUGCUGAAACCGCCAGAGAUAUAUACCGCGUGCUUACUGUCGCAGCCCGGUGCCUGGAGCCGAGUCCAUCGCGCAGGCUAACCGCACGACGUGUCGGUGAUGAGCUAUUUACGAUUAAAGCUCGUGAAGAUCAUGUCGAUUAUUUGCACGCCGGCAUCACAUUUCCUGCACUGUAGUGCCUAGCUAUAGCUAUGGAUGGGGAACUCGUAUGAUGUGGCAAUUCACUCCUGCAAAACAAUGCUGCAAUGAUGGAUCAGAACAAGCUCCGCCGACAGCUUUUGCGCCACCUGACCAGUCCUCAUCCGCCCGCCCGGCAGGUGCUUGUGUUUUUUCCCAUGAGGAUCUUCACAGCAAACCUGUAGUAAACCGCUUUGAUUUGACUUUAACAUUGUAUGAAGAGGCAAUUCACUCCCGUAAAACAACGCUGCAAUGACGAAUCAGAACAAGCUCCGCGGAGGGGUUUCGCGUCACCUGGCCAGUCCUCAUCCGCCUGCACGCUAGGCCGCCCGCCAGGUGCUUGUGUUUUUUCCCAUGAGAUUCGUUGCACUGCGACCUAGCUAGCUCGACCAAUUGCUCAAUGUCACCAAUAUAUGUUUCUGAACGUGCAGUAGUGCUCACUGUAGAAAAAGAAAACAUGUAGUAGUAGUGCUGAUAAAGUUGGGGGCGAGAUAUUUCUUCAUUGCCGGUGUGCCUCUCUGGUGCUCAUUCAUGUUUAUGUGUUUCUUGCUACGGUGUCAGUGUGUGUGCCACCAUGUUCUCUUUGCUCUUUGAUUCCCCCGAGUGUUGUUGCUCGAUCACAGAAACAGAGCUUGAUUAAUUUCAUCGAUGCAAAUGUUGGCUGGAGAUUUAUUUUCUUUCUUUGCAUGCAGAGGGAUUUGUAACUAAGUAGUACAAAUAAAUUAUUAUAUGUUUUUGUAUCAGGCUCAGAGUUUGCAGUCCACCUGAUGAUGAAAUAUGAGUUGCAGUGCACCGGGCCUGACAGGCUUGUAUCUAUAUGUUGCUGACUCUCAUCCUAGUGUGUGGCGGCGUUAGUGGCAUCAGGAAUGAUUGUAGUAUUGCCACGUCAGUUAACUUGUUGCAGAGCUAUGCUUUGUACAAACAUGCAUUGGAUGGGAGUGCUCUGCCCACCCAAGUGAAAGAAACCUGCCCCUUUGCGCCAAGUGAGUCCAGUUCAGAAUGGCCAUCAUGAGCCGAGCUGUCAAGUUCAAUGUUGAUGCCGUGCGCUUUCAGAGCAGCGACGAGUGUAGGUGCCAUGAUGCGCGACCACCGUGGCCAUGAUACUAUUAGCUACUGCAGCAGUUCAAAUUCUUGCAUUUUCACAACCAAGAGACAUACAGAAGAAGAUGCAAGGGGUCUUUAGCAUACUCUGGUUGCUCAAGAAUUGCUGCAGUAGCUAAUAGUAUCCCUGAAGGCACAGAUCAAGCUUUGUUGCAGGAGAUAUUCUGAAGGUCAUAAUGACAAACUAACAAGCAAGAUUGUCAUUUUCCUUAUGCCCCAAAGGCCACAAGAUGCAAAUGAUGACCUUUUAUUAUCGAAAACCGGCACUGCAAAGGUGUGUGCAACAGCAACUGCACAAGGUCUAGAUGCCACUGAACAAUUGAGAGCAGAAGGUAACAAGGGGAUUAUGCAUGUUAACCGACGGACUUGAAAACGUUUCAGAAUCGGCUACCAAGCUCGUUGGAGCCAUGCUAAGGAAGAAGAAGCAAACGCAUCGGCAAGUCUAGCAGAAGCUUAGCCUGCACUUAGAAAUUGCUGUGAUGAGUACAUCCAGUGAGGCCUUAUUCACCUUCAUACCAUGAUAGAUGUAACAUGGAGUGGAGCCAUGGAGGGUACCUGUCUGUUGGCAAAAUAAAUGGCAGCUUCUUCUUCUUAGCAAAGGGAUGCUGCUCGUACGGCUUGCUUGAAGCCCUGGCCUUCAUUUUGUUUUUUUGUUUUUUUAAGGAGGUUAAACCCCCGGCUUUGGGUCAUCGAUGCAUGCAUCCAUCUUUAUUAAUUAUUCCAUAAAGGUCUGACAAGAACAUACAUCAAUCCACCAUAAGCCACCACUCAUACGU